GAUGAACGCUGGCGGCGUGCCUAAUACAUGCAAGUCGAGCGAACGGACGAGAAGCUUGCUUUUCUGAUGUUAGCGGCGGACGGGUGAGCAACACGUGGAUAACCUACCUAUAAGACUGGGAUAACUUCGGGAAACCGGAGCUAAUACCGGAUAAUAUUUUGAACCGCAUGGUUCAAAAGUGAAAGACGGUCUUGCUGUCACUUAUAGAUGGAUCCGCGCUGCAUUAGCUAGUUGGUAAGGUAACGGCUUACCAAGGCAACGAUGCAUAGCCGACCUGAGAGGGUGAUCGGCCACACUGGAACUGAGACACGGUCCAGACUCCUACGGGAGGCAGCAGUAGGGAAUCUUCCGCAAAGGGCGAAAGCCUGACGGAGCAACGCCGCGUGAGUGAUGAAGGUCUUCGGAUCGUAAAACUCUGUUAUUAGGGAAGAACAUAUGUGUAAGUAACUGUGCACAUCUUGACGGUACCUAAUCAGAAAGCCACGGCUAACUACGUG
RNAcentral lists this ribosomal RNA (497 nucleotides) under uncultured bacterium. RNAcentral describes it as "partial 16S ribosomal RNA". It matches the Rfam family "Bacterial small subunit ribosomal RNA", at positions 28 to 507 of the family's 1533-position model. The record is from RNAcentral.